UACGUAGGGUGCGAGCGUUUAAUCGGAAUUACUGGGCGUAAAGCGUGCGCAGGCGGUGAUGUAAGACCGAUGUGAAAUCCCCGGGCUUAACCUGGGAACUGCAUUGGUGACUGCAUUGCUGGAGUAUGGCAGAGGGGGGGUGGAAUUCCACGUGUAGCAGUGAAAUGCGUAGAGAUGUGGAGGAACACCGAUGGCGAAGGCAGCCUCCUGGGCCAGCACUGACGCUCAUGCACGAAAGCGUGGGGAGCAAACAGG
Molecule: ribosomal RNA, 255 nt
Filed under: uncultured bacterium
Lineage: Bacteria
Description: partial 16S ribosomal RNA
Rfam family: Bacterial small subunit ribosomal RNA
Source: RNAcentral